RNAcentral lists this ribosomal RNA (524 nucleotides) under uncultured bacterium. RNAcentral describes it as "partial 16S ribosomal RNA". It matches the Rfam family "Bacterial small subunit ribosomal RNA", at positions 28 to 523 of the family's 1533-position model. The record is from RNAcentral.
GAUGAACGCUGGCGGCGUGCCUAAUACAUGCAAGUCGAGCGCAGGAAAUCGACGGAACCCUUCGGGGGGAAGUCGACGGAAUGAGCGGCGGACGGGUGAGUAACACGUAAAGAACCUGCCCUCAGGUCUGGGAUAACCACGAGAAAUCGGGGCUAAUACCGGAUGGGUCAUCGGACCGCACGGUCCGAGGAUGAAAGGCGCUUCGGCGUCGCCUGGGGAUGGCUUUGCGGUGCAUUAGCUAGUUGGUGGGGUAAUGGCCCACCAAGGCGACGAUGCAUAGCCGACCUGGGAGGGGGAUAGGCCACACUGGGACUGAGACACGGCCCAGACUCCUACGGGAGGCAGCAGUAGGGAAUCUUCCACAAUGGACGAAAGUCUGAUGGAGCAACGCCGCGUGAACGAUGAAGGCCUUCGGGUCGUAAAGUUCUGUUGUAAGGGAAGAACAAGUGCCGCAGGCAAUGGCGGCACCUUGACGGUACCUUGCGAGAAAGCCACGGCUAACUACGUGCCAGCCGCCGCCGUAA